UGAGCCCUUACCCAUCCUCCCUAGGACUCUAUGAUUCAGUCCAAUAAGUGAAAGUAGCUUAAAGCUGAGCUGAAUUCUCCUCAGCUACCUUGUCCCCUGUUGUGGCAGUUGGCACAGAAAAUUCUAGAUCUUCUCCCUUUGGCUCCAUUGUGUAGGGCAUUAGCAUGCAUGCCGCGCAGAAAACUAGUCUGGGCAACUCCUUGGCAUCAUUUAUUUAUUGUGAGGAAAAUGAAAAGGGGGAUGUAAAUACUACCAGAGAAGCUCAAUGUUUGAGGAGGUGCUAGCCGGUUACUCCAAGCCCAGACUGCAUGGCUCUCACAAGUCACUCUUGACUUCCCAUACCAAUAAUUUAGGAACCUUCACCACUUUGAAAUUAAACUAAGUUUCACCGUCUGUGCAACCUUUCUGACUGAUGUAUGGAAAAUGAGCCUGACCUUUGGAGAUUUGGAACAAUAGAAGUGUGUUUGUCCAAGAUGAAAUCUACAAAAUGGGCACUUAAUAAGAUCUUCACAUCUGGCCAGUUAUUUUCUUUUUCUAGUUCAAGAACAAGAAAAUGAUCUAAAUAAAUAGAUUUUGACAGGAGGCCAAUUCUGCUGCCAGAAUUACGCUAAUUAAAUAUGCAUAAUUCUCUUAAUUAGAAAAAAAUAAAAUAAAGACCAGAUUAAGGUU
Long non-coding RNA from Podarcis raffonei (Aeolian wall lizard), 669 nucleotides. RefSeq lists it as uncharacterized. The transcript is spliced from 4 exons. NCBI's taxonomy places the organism in Eukaryota, Metazoa, Chordata, Lepidosauria, Squamata, Lacertidae. The record is from RefSeq and is a predicted model, not a curated record.